Molecule: unclassified non-coding RNA, 336 nt
Filed under: soil metagenome
Description: partial contains 5.8S ribosomal RNA, internal transcribed spacer 2, and large subunit ribosomal RNA
Rfam family: 5.8S ribosomal RNA (bases 1-120)
Source: RNAcentral
GAUGAAGAACGUAGUGAAAUGCGAUAAGUAAUGUGAAUUUCAGAAUUCAGUGAAUCAUCGAAUCUUUGAACGCACAUUGCGCCCGCCAGUAUUCUGGCGGGCAUGCCUGUUCGAGCGUCAUUUCAACCAUCAAGCCCCCGGCUUGUGUUGGGGACCUGCGGCUGCCGCAGGCCCUGAAAAGCAGUGGCGGGCUCGCUGUCACACCGAGCGUAGUAGCAUACAUCUCGCUCUGGGCGUGCUGCGGGUUCCGGCCGUUAAACCACCUUCAUAACCCAAGGUUGACCUCGGAUCAGGUAGGAAGACCCGCUGAACUUAAGCAUAUCAAUAAGCGGAGGA